ACGAACGCUGGCGGCGUGCUUAACACAUGCAAGUCGAACGGAAAGGCCUUUUCGGAGGUACUCGAGUGGCGACCGGGUGAGUAACACGUGGGUGAUCUGCCCUGCACUCUGGGAUAAGCCUGGGAAACUGGGUCUAAUACCGGAUAGGACCGCACUUUAGUGUGUGUGGUGGAAAGUUUUUUCGGUGUAGGGUGAGCCCGCGGCCUAUCAGCUUGUUGGUGGGGUAAUGGCCUACCAAGGCGGCGACGGGUAGCCGGACUGAGAGGUUGGUCGGCCACAUUGGGACUGAGAUACGGCCCAGACUCCUACGGGAGGCAGAAGUGGGGAAUAUUGCACAAUGGGCGCAAGCCUGAUGCAGCGACGCCGCGUGGGGGAUGACGGCCUUCGGGUUGGAAACUCCUUUCGCCAGGGACGAAGCGUUUUGUGACGGUACCUGGAGAAGAAGCACCGGCUAACUACGUG
RNAcentral lists this ribosomal RNA (462 nucleotides) under uncultured bacterium. RNAcentral describes it as "partial 16S ribosomal RNA". It matches the Rfam family "Bacterial small subunit ribosomal RNA", at positions 29 to 507 of the family's 1533-position model. The record is from RNAcentral.